This 406-nucleotide ribosomal RNA is filed under the name uncultured bacterium. RNAcentral's name for it is "partial 16S ribosomal RNA". It matches the Rfam family "Bacterial small subunit ribosomal RNA", at positions 32 to 526 of the family's 1533-position model. The record is from RNAcentral.
AUUUAACGCUGGCGGCAGGCCUAACACAUGCAAGUCGAACGAGUGGCGGACGGGUGAGUAAUGUCUGGGAAACUGCCUGAUGGAGGGUGAUAACUACUGGAAACGGUAGCUAAUCCCGCAUACCAUCAGAUGUGCCCAGAUGGGAUUAGCUAGUUUGUGGGGUAACGGCUCACCAAGGCGACGCUCCCUAGCUGGUCUGAGAGGAUGACCAGCCCAACUGGAACUGAGACACGUUCCCGACUCCUACAGGAGGCAUGAGUCGGUAAUAGUGCACAAUGGGCGCAAGCCAGAUGCAGCCAUGCCGCGUGUAUGAAGAAGGCCUUCGGGUUGUAAAGUACUUGCAGCGGGGAGGCGUUACCCGCAGAAGAAGCACCGGCUAACUCCGUGCCAGCAGCCACGGUAAUAC